AUUGAACGCUGGCGGCAUGCCUUACACAUGCAAGUCGAACGGCAGCACGGGUGCUUGCACCUGGUGGCGAGUGGCGAACGGGUGAGUAAUACAUCGGAACAUGUCCUGUAGUGGGGGAUAGCCCGGCGAAAGCCGGAUUAAUACCGCAUACGAUCUACGGAUGACAGCGGGGGACCUUCGGGCCUCGCGCUAUAGGGUUGGCCGAUGGCUGAUUAGCUAGUUUGUGGGGUAAAGGCCUACCAAGGCGACGAUCAGUAGCUGAUCUGAGAGGACGACCAGCCACACUGGGACUGAGACACGGCCCAGACUCCUACGGGAGGCAGCAGUGGGGAAUUUUGGACAAUGGGCAAAAACCUGAUCCAGCAAUGCCGCGUGUGUGAAGAAGGCCUUCGGAUUGUAAAGCAAUUUUGUCCGGAAAGAAAUCCUUGGCCCUAAUACGGUCGGGGGAUGACGGUACCGGAAGAAUAAGCACCGGCUAACUACGUG
RNAcentral lists this ribosomal RNA (486 nucleotides) under uncultured bacterium. RNAcentral describes it as "partial 16S ribosomal RNA". It matches the Rfam family "Bacterial small subunit ribosomal RNA", at positions 30 to 507 of the family's 1533-position model. The record is from RNAcentral.